RNAcentral lists this ribosomal RNA (286 nucleotides) under uncultured bacterium. RNAcentral's name for it is "partial 16S ribosomal RNA". It matches the Rfam family "Bacterial small subunit ribosomal RNA", at positions 30 to 313 of the family's 1533-position model. The record is from RNAcentral.
AUUGAACGCUGGCGGCAGGCCUAACACAUGCAAGUCGGGCGGUAACAGGGAUAGCUUGCUAUCUGCUGACGAGCGGCGGACGGGUGAGUAAUGCAUAGGAAUCUGCCUGAUAGUGGGGGAUACCCCAGAGAAAUUUGGAUUAAUACCGCAUACGCCCUACGGGGGAAAGCUGGGGACCUUCGGGCCUAGCGCUAUCAGAUGAGCCUAUGUCGGAUUAGCUUGUUGGUGAGGUAACGGCUCACCAAGGCGACGAUCCGUAGCUGGUCUGAGAGGAGAUCAGCCACAC